This 67-nucleotide transfer RNA is filed under the name Amphionides reynaudii. RNAcentral's name for it is "tRNA-Cys". The record is from RNAcentral. Lineage: Eukaryota; Metazoa; Arthropoda; Malacostraca; Decapoda; Pandalidae.
GGCUUAUGUAGUGUAAAAAGAACGUUAGAGUGCAAAUCUAAAGGUGAAUUACGACGUUCCUUAGCCU